This 448-nucleotide ribosomal RNA is filed under the name uncultured bacterium. RNAcentral describes it as "bacterial SSU rRNA". It matches the Rfam family "Bacterial small subunit ribosomal RNA", at positions 29 to 515 of the family's 1533-position model. The record is from RNAcentral.
AGCGAACGCUAGCGGCGGGCCUAACACAUGCAAGUCGAGCGCGUACCUUCGGGUACGAGCGGCGGACGGGUGAGUAACACGUAGGUAAUCUGCCUUUUGGUGGGGAAUAACCCAAGGAAACUCGGGCUAAUACCGCAUACGGUCUCCGGAUCAAAGCCUUCGGGCGCCAGAAGAUGAGCCUGCGUCGCAUUACCUAGUUGGUGGGGUAAUGGCCUACCAAGGGGACGAUGCGUAGCUGGUCUGAGAGGAUGAUCAGCCACACUGGGACUGAGACACGGCCCAGACUCCUACGGGAGGCAGCAGUGGGGAAUAUUGCGCAAUGGGGGAAACCCUGACGCAGCCACGCCGCGUGGGUGAUGAAGGCCUUCGGGUUGUAAAGCCCUGUCGGGAGGGACGAAGUUCUGACGGUACCUCCCAAGAAAGCACCGGCUAACUCCGUGCCAGCCGC